GAAAUAUGAGUAUAAACCUGGUACAUUUAUAGUGGGUGCGUACUUGCGAUUACUGUGCGUAGAUGUUUUUUUUUUCAAAACAAAUUAUGCUACAAACGAAAUGACAGCCACACAAUUUAUGUAAUUUUGCUAUGUUGUCCUCUUAAGACGAUUUACCGCCGAUAAAAAGGCGAAAUAAUGAAAUUCCGUAUAUCUAUCGCGUAAUUCGCUUUUCAAGUAUCAUUUCUAAACC
Non-coding RNA from Cinara cedri, 232 nucleotides. The record is from the annotation of a GenBank genome assembly. Lineage: Eukaryota; Metazoa; Arthropoda; Insecta; Hemiptera; Aphididae.